RNAcentral lists this long non-coding RNA (2142 nucleotides) under Nicotiana tabacum (common tobacco). RNAcentral's name for it is "long non-coding RNA (NTAB_LNC005855)". The record is from RNAcentral. Lineage: Eukaryota; Viridiplantae; Streptophyta; Magnoliopsida; Solanales; Solanaceae.
UCUCAUGAAAUAUGAUGCCUAUUGGAAUUAAUUUGGUCACCUGCUACAUUUUUUUCAUUAAUACAAGCUUUAAUCCUUAUUUUUGUGCAAAUAGUGUAAUAAUUUCAUUAAUCGACCAUAAGGAUUGACUUUAUUAGCUACUCUGCAUACAUCGCUUACAGGAUGGUAUCUCUUUCCCUUGUGCCCCUCAGAAAAGCAAGAACUACUGCUAAAUCAGAAGGAGUAUAUAGGACUAGAGUCUGGUCUUUUAGCAUUUAACCCUUUUAUGUAAAGGAUUUUGAUGUUCAAAAAGCAAUUACGCGAAGGAGGUUUUCUUGAACAGAUUUUUGAGUGGAAUAUGUAGUGAGGUAUGUACAGAAAGAAAAUUUGUGUAUCUUAAACAUGUUAAAAAAAUAUUUGUAAUAUCUGCACUUUAUAUCUUCUACUGCUUAUUAUUGUUCUAAGAGGGUAAAUAAAAAUAUUCUUGUUGGUAUAUUAGGGUAAUUUGAUAUUAGUUGCUAAGACACUACGGCUUGCAUUCAGAGAUUUCAAAUUACGCUCCAAGCAUGCUUGUUAAAAGAGAAAAAGCAAAAUAUAAUUAAUAAGAUAUUGGAUGGUAAAUCUCUAAUUUUUGAAAUUGCAGUAUGUAUCGAGGAAACUCUAUUUCCUUCUUGAAAUUGUAGCAGUUCAAAUGUCAAUAAUGCAAUUGCAGCAUUUAAGCAUUCCAUUCUUUUAGCUGUCAUGACCAAGUCUUGGCAAUCUUUGCCUUUGUGAUAAGAUUUGUACUUCUGAAUGUUCCUAACUGAUAGAACAAUUUAAACAUCCAUUCAAUCACUUAUUUUUAAUGCAUAAGGAAGGUGAGUUUUACCUACAAGCUGUAUGGAGCAUUCUUGAACUAGUUAGGUGUAAUUUCAUUUGCUUGCCUAUGUGAAGUUUCAUGAGACUUCUUAUUUGUUGCAGAUUUUUCACCCAGUGGAACCAAAUAAUGAAUCUUCUUAUUAGUUUACUAGCUUAUUUCUUUGAGGUUUAAGGCAGAGCUUAUUGUAAUUCAACUUCUUUGUAGAUAUUAAUUAAUGAACAUCGUAGCUUGCUUUAGGUGCGAUUAAAUAAAUUAUCAUAACUACGGAUAUUGUUCCCAUGGUGUAGUUGUGAUGCCUAAUUUCAAAUUAGAUUUAAAUAUGAGCAUCCUUAGUUUGCUUUAGUGAAAUACAAAUCUUUUAAAGAUAAAUCGAGGUGUGCCAUUCACAAUUGAAUCACCUAAUAUAUGGCCCUCAUAUUAAUAUUAUAACUUAGUGUAAAAAAUAUUUUGAAUAUUCGUAGUUUGCUUUAGGAGCGUUUAUAACAAAAUCCUCAUAGCUAUGGGUACGGUUCCCGUGAAGUAGUUGUGAUACCUAAUUUCCAAGUUCGAGGUACAUUUAUGUGACCCGACCACAACUUCUAAUAACUUUGAUAAAUUAAACAUGUUGUAGAUCAUGGGUACAAUUCCCGUGUGUAUCUUAAACACGUUAGAAAAAUAUUUGUAAUAUCCGCUCUUCAUAUCUUCUACUGCUUAUUGCUGUUCUAAGAGGGUAAAUAAAAAUAUUCUUAUUGGUAUAUUAGGGUAUUUUGAUAUUAGUUGCUAAUACACUACGGCUUGCAUUUAGAAAUUUCAAAUUACGCUCCAAGCAUGCUUGUUAACAGAGAAAGAGCAAAAUAUAAUAAAUAAGAUAUUGGAUGGUAAAUCUCUAAUUUUUGAAAUUGCAGUAUGUAUCGAGGAAACUCUAUUUCCUGCUUGAAAAUUGUUGCAGUUCAAAUGUCAAUAAUGCAAUUGCAGCAUUUAAGCAUUCCAUUCUUUUAGCUGUCAUGACCAAGUCUUAGCAAUCUUUUCCUUUGUGAUAAGAUUUGUACUUCUGAAAGUUCCUAACUGACAGAACAAUUUAAACAUCCAUUCAAGCACCUAUUUUUAAUGCAUAAGGAAGGUGAGUUUUACCUACAAGCUAUAUGGAGCAUUCUUGAACUAGUUAGGCAUAAUUUUCACUUGCUUGCUUAUGUGAAGUUUCAGGAGACUUCUUAUUUGUUGCAGAUUUUUCACCCAGUGGAACCAAAUAAUAAAACUUCCUAUUAGUUUACUAGCUUAUUUCUUUGAGGUUUAAGGCAGAGCUUAUUGUAAUUCAACUUCUUUGU